RNAcentral lists this ribosomal RNA (253 nucleotides) under uncultured bacterium. Its description in RNAcentral is "partial 16S ribosomal RNA". It matches the Rfam family "Bacterial small subunit ribosomal RNA", at positions 524 to 776 of the family's 1533-position model. The record is from RNAcentral.
UACGGGGGGAGCAAACGUUGUUCGGAAUUACUGGGCGUAAAGGGCGCGUAGGUGGCCUUUUGAGUCAGACGUGAAAUCCCCCGGCUUAACCUGGGAACUGCGUCUGAUACUGGAAGGCUUGAGUUCGGGAGAGGGAUGUGGAAUUCCAGGUGUAGCGGUGAAAUGCGUAGAUAUCUGGAGGAACACCGGUGGCGAAGGCGGCAUCCUGGACCGAAACUGACACUGAGGCGCGAAAGCCAGGGGAGCAAACGGG